CCCUUAGAUGUUCUGGGCAGCACGCGCGCUACAAUGGUCUUCGCAAACGGAUGCAUUCUCGAAGGAGAAUGCCAAUCUUGGAAUCUAUGCCUUGGUCGGGACAGUUGCUUGCAAUUUUUCGACUCGAACCAGGAAUUCCUUGUAAUCGUGAUUCAUCACAUCACGAUGAAUACGUCCCUGCCCUUUGUACACACCGCCCGUCGCUCCUACCGAUCGAGUGAUCCGGUGAAUAAUUCGGACUGCAGCAGGCCUGGUCUCCGGGUUUUGCAGCGGAAAGUUUAGUGAACCUUAUCACUUAGAGGAAGGAGAAGUCGUAACA
Molecule: ribosomal RNA, 319 nt
Filed under: uncultured eukaryote
Lineage: Eukaryota
Description: partial 18S ribosomal RNA
Rfam family: Eukaryotic small subunit ribosomal RNA
Source: RNAcentral